Non-coding RNA from Phrynosoma platyrhinos (Desert horned lizard), 73 nucleotides. The record is from the annotation of a GenBank genome assembly. Lineage: Eukaryota; Metazoa; Chordata; Lepidosauria; Squamata; Phrynosomatidae.
GCCUGAAUGGCAUCGUGUUUUUGAGCGCCCGGCUACCAUUCUGGAGACCAGGGUUCAAUUCCCAGCUCCGCCA